Molecule: non-coding RNA, 80 nt
Organism: Pelobates cultripes (western spadefoot toad)
Lineage: Eukaryota; Metazoa; Chordata; Amphibia; Anura; Pelobatidae
Source: the annotation of a GenBank genome assembly
CAACCUGGUCACCAGGCAGUGUAGUUAGAUGAUUUGAAAUAAUAUCAAUCACUAACUACACAGCCAUGUGAAAGGGUCUG